AGAGUUUGAUCCUGGCUCAGAUUGAACGCUGGCGGCAGGCCUAACACAUGCAAGUCGAGCGGAUGAAGAGAGCUUGCUCUCUGAUUCAGCGGCGGACGGGUGAGUAAUGCCUAGGAAUCUGCCUAUUAGUGGGGGACAACGUUUCGAAAGGAACGCUAAUACCGCAUACGUCCUACGGGAGAAAGCAGGGGACCUUCGGGCCUUNCGCUAAUAGAUGAGCCUAGGUCGGAUUAGCUAGUUGGUGAGGUAAUGGCUCACCAAGGCGACGAUCCGUAACUGGUCUGAGAGGAUGAUCAGUCACACUGGAACUGAGACACGGUCCAGACUCCUACGGGAGGCAGCAGUGGGGAAUAUUGGACAAUGGGCGAAAGCCUGAUCCAGCCAUGCCGCGUGUGUGAAGAAGGUCUUCGGAUUGUAAAGCACUUUAAGUUGGGAGGAAGGGCAUUAACCUAAUACGUUAGUGUUUUGACGUUACCGACAGAAUAAGCACCGGCUAACUCUGUGCCAGCAGCCGCGGUAAUACAGAGGGUGCAAGCGUUAAUCGGAAUUACUGGGCGUAAAGCGCGCGUAGGUGGUUUGUUAAGUUGAAUGUGAAAUCCCCNGGCUCAACCUGGGAACUGCAUCCAAAACUGGCAAGCUANAGUAGGGCAGAGGGUGGUGGAAUUUCC
This 668-nucleotide ribosomal RNA is filed under the name uncultured bacterium. RNAcentral describes it as "bacterial SSU rRNA". It matches the Rfam family "Bacterial small subunit ribosomal RNA", at positions 8 to 671 of the family's 1533-position model. The record is from RNAcentral.